AUUAUAUCUUCGUAUUUCCAUCCACUCAUCUAUCUGACUGUUCUCAGUUUUCGAUCGAUAAACUUAAAAACUUUGUAACACGAAAAUAGACCAUUUCUGAUAUUUUUGGUAGCGACGCAUAUAUCGAUUGAAAUUCAAUUUUCGAAAGUUCGUCAAAAGCAUUCUUUCUCUUUAAAUUUUAAUCGAAGCACAAUACGUUAUAUUAUUGUAACUAACAACGUUAUAUCAUGAAAUUCCUGUGUAUCGCGAAAUAAAAUGUAAUCAAGGAAAUAUCUAUGAAACGACGCCUUUAUCGAAUUCAAUAAACUAUCGAAGAAGAAGAUAUGGCAGCAAUUUGAAAGAAAGCAGGGAGGAAAGGUGAUAUAAAAAAAACGAUCCACAAGGAGAUGAUAGGCUAUUUGAAAGAACGAGAGAUAAAUUGUUGGUUUCUCUACCAGAUAUGAGUUGUCAGCUAAAGAAACUCAAUAGGAAAUUUGUGUAAUGGCACAUAUUAUUCUAUUGCUUCUCACCGUUUCAUUUAACGAUAUCGUUGAAGAUACAGAUAUAUCUUGUCGAACAAUAAAUAUACUUGUUUGCGAAAAAGCGUAAAAGAAUUAAACGACGCGGAAGACGAUAUCGUAAAUACAGGAUCGUCGAAAACGGAAACCGGAUGUCGAAGAUCUUAAAACUAGCCGAAAGCGACAUGUGGCCGAAAUUUCAAGAAGUUAAUUUUAUUCCAACCAGGUCGAUGUAACUAAUUCCCUUUCUGUGUUAUCUUGUACAUGUGUGAGAAAUUUUCCAAUACAGGAUAUCUUUAAUUUAACGGUAAAACGAGUUCUCGAUGAAAAUUAUAUUUAUAUAUGUAAGUAUAUUCAAUUAAAUUUAUAUUAAUUAUAUUGAAACGUUGAAUUCUUGGUUUAUUCGUGUUACUUACAGAAUGAAGUAUAUUGAAUUUCUAUAUUGAAAUUUUCUGUUUGAAAUAUUAUGAAAAAUUAGAAAAUUGAAAAAUUAGGAAAUUGAAAAUUGUAGUAUCAUUGAAAUUCCAGAAUUUGAUAAUAAAAGUUAAGAUAUAUAUAUCGACGUUUUGUUUAUGUGAAUAAUGAUAGAAAAAUCCGAAAGCAUAUCUAGUUUUUUUUAGUGGAAAUUCAACGUUAAAGACAGAUCUUAUAAUGUAGAGUGAUUUUCACGCCAAUAAAUUCAAAAGAUGUAUUGCGUAAACGUUAA
Apis cerana (Asiatic honeybee) is the source of this 1203-nucleotide long non-coding RNA. RefSeq lists it as uncharacterized. The record is from RefSeq and is a predicted model, not a curated record. NCBI's taxonomy places the organism in Eukaryota, Metazoa, Arthropoda, Insecta, Hymenoptera, Apidae.